UACGUAGGUGGCAAGCGUUGUCCGGAAUUAUUGGGCGUAAAGCGCGCGCAGGCGGUCCUUUAAGUCUGAUGUGAAAGCCCACGGCUCAACCGUGGAGGGUCAUUGGAAACUGGGGGACUUGAGUGCAGGAGAGAAGAGUUGGAAUUCCACGUGUAAGUGGUGAAAUGCGUAGGAGAUGUGGAGGAACACCAGUGGCGAAGGCGACUCUUUGGCCUGUAACUGACGUGAGGCGACGAAAGCGUGGGGAGCAAAACAGG
Molecule: ribosomal RNA, 257 nt
Filed under: uncultured bacterium
Lineage: Bacteria
Description: partial 16S ribosomal RNA
Rfam family: Bacterial small subunit ribosomal RNA
Source: RNAcentral